RNAcentral lists this transfer RNA (75 nucleotides) under Bacteroidota bacterium. RNAcentral describes it as "Bacteroidetes bacterium tRNA-Met". It matches the Rfam family "tRNA". From Rfam's summary of the family: Transfer RNA (tRNA) molecules are approximately 80 nucleotides in length. Their secondary structure includes four short double-helical elements and three loops (D, anti-codon, and T loops). Lineage: Bacteria; Pseudomonadati; Bacteroidota. The record is from RNAcentral.
UGCGGGGUGGAGCAGUGGCAGCUCGUUGGGCUCAUAACCCAAAGGUCGCAGGUUCGAGUCCUGUCCCCGCUACUA